This 557-nucleotide ribosomal RNA is filed under the name uncultured Actinomycetes bacterium. Its description in RNAcentral is "bacterial SSU rRNA". It matches the Rfam family "Bacterial small subunit ribosomal RNA", at positions 346 to 916 of the family's 1533-position model. The record is from RNAcentral. Lineage: Bacteria; Bacillati; Actinomycetota; Actinomycetes.
AGGCAGCAGCAGGGAAUAUUGCACAAUGGGCGAAAGCCUGAUGCAGCGACGCCGCGUGCGGGAUGAAGGCCUUCGGGUUGUAAACCGCUUUCAGGAGGGAAGAAAAUGACGGUACCUCCAGAAGAAGGCCCGGCCAACUACGUGCCAGCAGCCGCGGUAAUACGUAGGGGCCAAGCGUUGUCCGGAUUUAUUGGGCGUAAAGGGCUCGUAGGCGGUUUAGUAAGUCAAUCGUGAAAUGUCGGGGCUCAACCCCGAGACUGCGGUCGAAACUGCUAUGACUAGGGUCCGGUAGAGGUGAGUGGAAUUCUCGGUGUAGCGGUGAAAUGCGCAGAUAUCGAGAGGAACACCAGUAGCGAAGGCGGCUCACUGGGCCGGUACCGACGCUGAGGAGCGAAAGCGUGGGGAGCAAACAGGAUUAGAUACCCUGGUAGUCCACGCCGUAAACGUUGAACACUAGGUGUGGCGGACUUAUCCACGUCUGCCGUGCCGACGCUAACGCAUUAAGUGUUCCGCCUGGGGAGUACGGCCGCAAGGCUAAAACUCAAAGGAAUUGACGG